GGUCCGAGCCACGUUGAUGGUAGUCAAUCCGGCAAUGACCAUCAAUGCUAUGAUUGGACCUAUAAAAAUUCUAUGUUUCGCAUCCUGAUAGGAAUCUGUUUACUGAUUUUAAACCAUUCAUUUACAGAGCCCUUUGUGCGAUUACAUUU
Small nucleolar RNA from Papaver somniferum (opium poppy), 149 nucleotides. RefSeq annotates it as small nucleolar RNA snoR2/U65. The transcript has a single exon. Lineage: Eukaryota; Viridiplantae; Streptophyta; Magnoliopsida; Ranunculales; Papaveraceae. The record is from RefSeq and is a predicted model, not a curated record.